Molecule: transfer RNA, 66 nt
Filed under: Habroscelimorpha dorsalis dorsalis
Lineage: Eukaryota; Metazoa; Arthropoda; Insecta; Coleoptera; Carabidae
Description: tRNA-Tyr
Source: RNAcentral
UUUGCGGUAAAAUGACUGAUAAAAGUAGUAAACUGUAAAUUUACGAAUGAAAUAUUUAAUUUCUUU